UUAUCCGGAAUUAUUGGGCGUAAGAGCUCGUAGGCGGUUUGUCGCGUCUGCCGUGAAAGUCCGGGGCUCAACUCCGGAUCUGCGGUGGGUACGGGCAGACUAGAGUGAUGUAGGGGAGACUGGAAUUCCUGGUGUAGCGGUGAAAUGCGCAGAUAUCAGGAGGAACACCGAUGGCGAAGGCAGGUCUCUGGGCAUUAACUGACGCUGAGGAGCGAAAGCAUGGGGAGCGAACAGGAUUAGAUACCCUGGUAGUCCAUGCCGUAAACGUUGGGCACUAGGUGUGGGGGACAUUCCACGUUUUCCGCGCCGUAGCUAACGCAUUAAGUGCCCCGCCUGGGGAGUACGGCCGCAAGGCUAAAACUCAAAGGAAUUGACGG
This 377-nucleotide ribosomal RNA is filed under the name Arthrobacter sp. CCH_CBGLBI40C. Its description in RNAcentral is "bacterial SSU rRNA". It matches the Rfam family "Bacterial small subunit ribosomal RNA", at positions 541 to 916 of the family's 1533-position model. The record is from RNAcentral. Lineage: Bacteria; Bacillati; Actinomycetota; Actinomycetes; Micrococcales; Micrococcaceae.